GCCGACGGCGGGCGGGAGCCGCAGCGGCGGCGGGCGCGGCGCGGCGCGGCGAGGGGCCGGCGGAGCCGCCAUGAGGUAGGUGGGAGCCCCCAGUAGCCGAGUGAGGCAGCAUGGCAAUGUUCCUGGGAGCCAGGAAUGCCCACUCAGUUCUGAAGCGCUUUCCCCGAGCCAAUGGCUUCCUGGAGGAGAUACGACAGGGCACCAUUGAGCGGGAGUGCAUCGAGGAGGUCUGCAGUUAUGAGGAGGUUAAGGAAGUGUUCGAGAACAAAGAGAAGACGAUGGAGUUCUGGAAAGGCUACACCAACUCCGUCUACUCUGUCAAGGACCCUGGACACAGCACAGAGCGCUCAGAUGCUAUGUAUGUGGUGGUCCCCCUCUUGGGAGUGGCUCUUUUGAUAGUCAUCGCCCUCUUCAUCAUCUGGAGGUGCCAGCUUCAAAAGGCCACACGUCACCGCCCUUCCUAUGCCCAGAACCGCUACCUGGCUAGCCGAACAGUGCGCAGCCUCCCCAGGGUCAUGGUGUACCGGGAACGGUCGCAAAGCCAAGGGGAAACCCAGUAUCAGCGAGAAGGGAGCAACCGGGUAGUUGGAGAUGGCAGAGCAGGGGGCACCCCCCAGCAAGAUGGCACCCUCUACCCACCAGAGCAUUCAGUCUCUGUCCUCUCCAGACUGUCCAGUGCCACCCCUCCACCUUCCUAUGAGGAGGUGACAGGGCACCCGGAGAGCAGCAGUGGCGAAGAGACCAGCAUCUCCUACAAUGACCCACCACCCAAGUAUGAAGAGAUCGUGGCUGCUGCCCCUGUCGUGGGUAAAUAGGGGGUCUGAUGCCUUCCUCCUGCCACUUCACACACACUCAUGCUCGCACUCAUACCCGUCCUUCACUCUGCCUGAGACUCCUUUCCUGUGCCAAUUGGCACCCCAUCUCACUUGUACAAGCUGGUGCCAUCACAGAAUAGCCUUACCCUCCUUACCAAAAACAGCUGUCCCAAAGUGGGGUGGAGGUGGGAAACAGGGAUGGCUCUGGAGUCCAGCCAGACAUCUCCUUCUCCCUGCUCUCCACACACAUAAGUGCUGUAGCAGCCAGAGCAGAGUGACAGCUUGUUACUGCCUCAAUGUGGGGGUUUCCCCAUGGUGCGUUUGAUUUUCUUACCUUUCCUUCAAAAAGACAUAAUGUUUCCUGUGAUUAAAACAGCCUUGCUGCCUCCCUGGGGCUCUGCAGAGCCCUACCACAAGUACACACUGGCUCAUGGGCCUGAGGCACCCAUGGGACUGUUGCUGGGUCAGAAGGGAUCUUUGGGGUUGUUCCUUUCUACGCUCAAGUUCACUGGAGCCAAUUCUUGAUGUGCUGAGACCUCAGUCUUCACCAGACCCUGUUUUGCUGCUCGGGGCUCUGAUUAGGAGUUGGAGAUGCAGGAGGGAUGCUGUGAAUUUCUCUUUCUUCUUACAGUUGGUGUCCACACUUUGUGUUCAGGGAAGAAAGUUCCCUCCAUGCAUGGGUUAUCUGCUACAUGGGAGUGGGUAGCUUGGUUUGUCCUGUGUUGUCUGUGGUGAUAUUGUUUGUUUGGAGAAUAAGGAGGAGCAGCUUGGAAAUGUUUUGUGAUCUAGAUCCCUUUUGAAAGAAAGCCGGUGUUGAACUUGUCCAUGAGGCCUUUACUUCGCCUCUUGGCCUUAGCAGAUCGGCGUUACGCGAAGACCUGACGACGAGCGUCAGGGUCAGAGCCUGGAAGAGACGAGAGGGAGACAGAAGGGCACUCUUGGAUCCUCUGUCUUUGACGCUUGGUCAUUGUCCCUGCAGUUUGUAUUCUGUAAAACUUGGUAUAUUUCUGUGCAAAAAAGUAUUUAUUAAAAAACCCUCACUGUC
This is an RNA transcript of Rhea pennata, 1860 nucleotides long. It is a transcript of the gene named proline rich and Gla domain 3, with no coding region annotated. The record is from RefSeq and is a predicted model, not a curated record. The transcript has 5 exons. Lineage: Eukaryota; Metazoa; Chordata; Aves; Rheiformes; Rheidae.